AAAUUACAUUGUCAAGCCCUAAAUCUCCAUUUAUUUAAUUUCUUCAUAUGCCUGAUCCGUGAGAAAGAGCUAGACUGGAUACUUGAGCUCCGCUUGGGAAGAUACAGAAAAGCGCGUGAAAUGGGAUGGAGAGUUCAUUCUCGCCAAAUUUGGUUACAAAUCACAUUGUCAAACCCUAAAUCUUCCUUCAUUCAAUUUCUUCAUAUGCCUGAUUCGUGAGAAAGAGCCAGACUGAAUACUUGAUGUAGGGAAUCAGAUUGGGACUUUUGGGGAUGCAUUUACUAAGCUUGAAAAACGUUUCAAGGGUUCGCAAGAAACAUUCCAGAGAUGGAGGACUGCUUUGAGAGAAGCUGCCAAUCUAUCUGGCUUUGAUUCAAAUGUCAUCAGUUUUCCAAAUUUGUUACUGAAUGGAACUGACCCAGGCUUGCGGUCCUAAAAGAAGCGAGUAACACUUGAGUGAAACUUGGAGGUUGAAAUCUUCUUAUACAAAAGGUAAUUUAAGUUCAAACCCAUGAGCUUAUUAUAGUAGGUUGGAACAAGUUGAUAAGAUAACCUUUUACAUCCCCAUAUCCCUUAAAUGGUAAAAUGUAAAAAAAUGACUCAUGCAAAUUCUGCGCAGCAUGUUUCUUGUUGCUUUGGUAGGAAACCCUCCAAGAGGAAAUUUAACGCUUUGCACUCCAUUGUUUAUGGGGUUUCUUGUUUGCCUGAUCUUGAAGAUAUGCCAAAUCUUGGAACUCUCUGUGGUAUUCUGUAUAGUUGUGGUGGUGUCCUGCAUAAUAGUUCAA
Molecule: long non-coding RNA, 785 nt
Organism: Pistacia vera
Lineage: Eukaryota; Viridiplantae; Streptophyta; Magnoliopsida; Sapindales; Anacardiaceae
Exons: 4
Source: RefSeq, a predicted model, not a curated record